This is a long non-coding RNA of Oncorhynchus keta (chum salmon), 698 nucleotides long. RefSeq lists it as uncharacterized. The record is from RefSeq and is a predicted model, not a curated record. The transcript has 2 exons. Lineage: Eukaryota; Metazoa; Chordata; Actinopteri; Salmoniformes; Salmonidae.
UUGAGACCUCCCAUCGUUUGGAUUUGAAUAUCCAACCAUUGUAAUACAAGGGGGCGGCGUUCAGGUUUGACUGUGUCUGUACGUGUGGGUGUUUGAGUGAGAAAGACACAGAGGAGAGCCGACCAUUAAAAGCACAGCCCCCUUCAUUAUUGUCGCAUUGAGCCGAAAAUAUCAAAGAGCCAUUCCAAACUUUGAAAGUUAGGUGUUAGCCAGACUAAUGAUGAACUGCAAUGAAAAAGUAAUUGCUUCGAUGCUUCGGGGAAACUCACUGAGAACUGGAUCGCUGUCUUCAAGGACAAAAAAAUAUUGCAGGCCCAAGAUCUUCUCUUUGAAGUGCAGGUGACAUCGCUUUAAGACUUGAUGGAAGGAGCAAGUGCUGUAAGUCUGGCAGAAAGACCCACCUUCGAAGAGACCAGAACGUCUUUCAUUGACUUGCGGCCUGUACGUUUAAAUAGUGGAUAGGCAUAGGGAGAUAGAUGGUGAAAUUAGAUGAUAGCAUUUGUAAACCUUGAAUGAAAGGAACAGCAUUCCAAAAUUGGUUAAAUGCACACUCCAAGACAUUGUUAUGUAAUUGAACCUAUGAGCCUAAGCCCCCAAUGAAUGGAAGAUGUAGGCAUCAAACUGGGAUUGGGUGUUUAUAUUGAUGUUGAAGUGUAAAUGGUUAUAUAGUAUACAACAAUAAAUGGUGUGAGAUGGCA